GGGUGAAAGAGCAGGUUCUAUAUUUGAGAAAAGAAAACACUUCAGAAGCAUAUAUGCUUAGAGCAUUAAAAUGGAUUAUUUGCCUUGUUCUGUUUGGGAAAGUGUCUAUCAAUAACAGACUUCCACAUGAGAGCCGAAUUGCAAACUGUAAGUGACUUCCUCGCUGCCUGUUUUGAACCCCAUCCCUAUGCAAAGGGGAAUGGUGAACCAAGUUCAUGAAUUCACCCUGCCUUUGUAACUGAAACUUGUCAAUGAAACAGAAAACAAAACAAAGGAAAAAGCAGGACCUCAAUAAGUAGAAAAUGUGAGACGGUGCAACGAUGAAAGGCUAGCAAAACUGAGUAAAUGGUUGGAGACAGAAAACUUAUUAUAGAUUUUACAUUCAACCCAUGAGGAUUUUGACUGAUUCCACUGAGCAGGCUCAGGACAAAAUCUUUGAAAAGCAGAAUGACUCCUAAGGUGCAGGAAAUUCUGAAUGUGCCCAUGAAGAGUUUUUUCUAGACUCUCAGCAGUAAUAAAAGACUUCUGGCAGAUUAGUAUCAAAGAUUGCUUUGGAUGUGAGGCAAAAUCAAGAGUCAGAUGCUCAACCCAUGGAGCCGCCCAGGAGCCCCCUCAUUAUUCUUUACAAUCCGUCUGCUUCCCCUAACUUCAGAUCCUGGCUUCUACGAUCUACGUCCCUAUAAGAUUGCAUUUGCUAAAAUGUCAUAAAAAUGGAAUCAUACAGCAUGUGGAUUUUUGUGUGGACUUCUUUCACCUAGCAUAAUACUUGAAGAUUCAUCUUCAUUUUUGCACGUCAAUUAUUUUUCAUUGAUAAAUUGAUGGGCAGUCUUCCAUUGUGCAGAAGCACUUCCUUGUGUUUACUCAUUCACUACACGGACAUUUGGAUUGUGUCUAGUUUUUAACAAUUAGAAUAAAUUGUUACUAUAGUCAUUGAAUAAAGUUGCUAUAGCCAUCACGUGCAGGUAUUUGUGUGGACACGUAUUUUCUUUUCUCUUGCAUGAAUACGUAGGAAUAAGAUUGUGGAGUCAUAAAGAUGUUUGUCGUGUAGGUUUCAUUUUUAUCAGAAACUGCCAGCCUCUUUUCCAAAGUGACUGUAACAUUUUGCAUUCUCAAAGGCAAUGUGGGGGAGUUCCAGUUGUUCUGCCUCCUCAUCAGCCAUUUUAACAGAUGUGUAGGAAAUCCCGUGUUGCUAUCUGUUAUUUCCCUAAGAGUAGUGACAUUGAGCAUCUUUUCAUGUGCUGGCUUUGUCAUUUGGCUCUUGUCUUUGGUGAAAUAUCUUCU
Molecule: long non-coding RNA, 1281 nt
Organism: Felis catus (domestic cat)
Lineage: Eukaryota; Metazoa; Chordata; Mammalia; Carnivora; Felidae
Exons: 6
Source: RefSeq, a predicted model, not a curated record